RNAcentral lists this transfer-messenger RNA (362 nucleotides) under Aminobacter sp. NyZ550. It matches the Rfam family "Alphaproteobacteria transfer-messenger RNA". From Rfam's summary of the family: Bacterial tmRNA, also known as 10Sa RNA or SsrA, is named for its dual tRNA and mRNA-like properties. Its role is to liberate the mRNA from a stalled ribosome. Lineage: Bacteria; Pseudomonadati; Pseudomonadota; Alphaproteobacteria; Hyphomicrobiales; Phyllobacteriaceae. The record is from RNAcentral.
CACCUUCCAUUUUGCAGCCGGCCUCCCUAUAUUGGGGUCGUCAGCUUGACUGACUAUGGCGAUAAACUGCCGAUGAAAUAAGCCAUUCGGACCCGGGGGCGGUACCCGGCGCCUCCACCAAAAGUCGUCGCACGGUCGAACGACGAUUUUUGCUGGGGGCGAAAUAGGAUCGACGAGGGUGUAAAGAUCGGACUUUUGCCCGGCAUUGUACCACCGUUAUCGGGCUAAACUUGUAGUUGCAAACGACAACUAUGCGGAAGCACGUCUCGCUGCUUAAUGCAGUGCGAUAGCUUCAAAUUAAGCCCUAGAGGUUCGCACUUCUAGGCGGGGUUCGGAGGUACCUGGCAACAGAAACCUCCACU